GAAUGCAUAAUCUGUGCACUUGUUUUUGAGUGUUUUUCGAAUGAUCUUUAGCCAAUAUGUAGUUCUGAUGCCUGGUAAUAAGAUGUGACAAGACAGUGGGAAGAUGUAAUUAGAUGUAACUAUUCAUGUAAGAAUAAAGACUAGUGAUGCAAGAAAGAAAAACAAAAACAAAAACUCACAAUCUUACCCACAAUCUUAUUCCUGUAGUUUACCUAGAUUUUGCUGUAAUAUGCACUUCAAACUAUAUCAGCUGAGGCUGUACCCUGUAAUUUUUUAUAAAUCUAAGCAUGUUCCAGUCAUUACUUGAAUCUGUUAAGUAAUUCUAACAUGUUAUUUAUGAUCAGGACUGUGCAAAUAAGAUUGAUAAAUGGUUGAAGCCUGAUAUUGAAAAUGGUUGAUAAAAGCCCAAAUUAGAUCAUAGAGAAAUCAUAUACUGUUAGAAACGGGGAAGGUGAGUAUUAGAGGCAGGUGGAUUGAGUUUGAAAUAAAAUUAAUCAUAGUAAUAGCCACUAACUGAGAAAUGGAAGUCACACCAGUAAAGUACAAAUUGCUUCCUGAAAUAACAAGCGAAAGAAGGCAAAAAGCCAAGUGGCAGGAUAUCUGCUGAGAAAGCUGAGAAGAUGAGUCUCACAGGAGAAAAUGGGAGACAGCAGAUCUUGCAUGGCAUCCAAAGAAUACAAGCUAAACAGGAGCAACACCUCAUAAAGAGUUUCAAGACAUACAAGAUAUAUAAAAUUUACCCCAUAACUACCGUGGUGACCAGUUCUAAUAUAUUUAGAAUUCUGAUUACUUGGAUCCCAUCUGCUUCUUCAGUCUUUGAAAAGGACAGCAGGUUUGAAGGAAUUUCACUUUACGUCUGCCUUCUCCACUUCCAUUGCAAUCCCUUGAGAAAUGUGUAGGUCUUUCUGGUUUCACCUGUUGGUCAUAUCCCACUGUCCAAACCCCACCUCAGCACUCAUCGUUUGCAAGUCACAAAGGCAAAUCUCCAUCUAGUGACAAUACCAGAAUUAUUUCAGGAGAUGAAUAAAUGAGAGCAACUGAAAUCAUGUUUAAUCAUUUGGUCAGAAGGAUAUCUGAGAUCCAGUAUGGCCUCGUUGUUGAGCCGUAUCACUUUCUAGUUCUUCCUCACCUAUCAAGUAACCACCUUCUCAUAUGUCUCAUUCUUGCUUGAGAAGAACAGAGAUAAAUUAUAGUUUUGAACUUCUUCUAUUGAGUGAACUGAAGCCAAAGGAAUAAAAUGCAAAGUUAAUUUCUGUCUUAUAGUCAAGACGGUUUUCAAGGGCUUUUGUAAUGCUCGUAUCAACCAUAAUACAACCGUGAGCAAUGCAGGAGAGAGGUGUUCUUGUGAGUGGGCUUACUACAGCAAGUAACGUUUCAGGCAUGGUAUGAAAAGAUAGUGAUGUACUUAAGCUGAGGUAUUUGUAUGGUGGGGGAAAAGCAUGAAAUCAGUAUUAGGGCCUUAAUUGCCAAAUUCUCAAUUUCAAAUAUGGAGAACUCUCACAGGAGCAGUAUUGGCUGAGGUGUCACUGGACGGUCCCUGUGCUGUUACUGCAGCACCUUUGUGGCCAGCGAAGCAGUGGCUGGCUGCUCCCCGAGGGAGGCAAGGCAGGAGCUAGCCAUGCUAGCUACAACCAACGGAGGCCCUGGCCCUGCCAGAAGGGGCUCAGGCCUGUGGUGCCUAAGUAAGGCGAGCAGGGCAACCCCAGUUUUGACUUCAGGGAACCAAAAUUAACAUAAACUGAAGCUGUAUUGGUCAUCUUUCAGAAUAAUGUCUUGUACCAUAUUGGGAAGCUGAUAGAGUCUAGCUUAUUUUUUCAAGAAAAAAAAAAAAGAUCAGAGAAGUGAUAGAAGCUUAUUUGAAUUUCCUUGUCUACAGGCCUAUUACUCCUAGCCUCCAAGCAGCUGGUAGGGAGGGUAAGAAGGUCCAUGGACAUUACUCAGACAUCACCUCACCCCAUUGCCAACAACGUCUGAAGUCUUCCACCAACUCUGCUAGCACUGGAGAGAUAGCCCAGCAGGUUCCCAAAAGGUGAAAGCACUGGAAGGAGUGGUGAGGAGAGGUUAAAUCCUCACCAUUUGUAAAUGAAGACAAGAGAUGAUCUGAUACGAGUUCCCUUGCAAGUAGAGUCCCAGUGAAAGAACCAUUCCCCAAGUCCAACCAUUUAGCUCUCAGCAGCUUUCCUAGGUAUAUAUUGUUUCUUAUCACACACCAUCUGAGCUGUUUCAUCUUCAUCCAAAGGCAUUUUUAAAUAAUCUGCUAAUGCUUGAAACCGGCUUUAAGUAGUAGCUCUCCAGCUCAGAGGAUUCAGACGUGCAUUAACACUGAUCGAGAACACAGUGAAGCUCAGCAGAUUUUAAUGCAGUCCUUUGAAUGAUAAAGGCUAAAGAAUGCACUAAACGGAGUAGCAGAGAGGAUUUGGGCAGGCAUGCUUGAACUCUAGCCCUAUUUGUAUACAUAGCCUGUCCCAUUUUCCUAUAAUGAUGCAGCUGCACUUUUGCUAGCAGCAGCACAGUCAGGCUAGCUACCUAGUAAUUAAUAGAUAUAUGAAUUUUAAGACCCGAAAAGACUUGUCAUCUUCUACUGUGAUCUGUUGUGUAAUUUCUCUCUAUUCUUUCCAGCCUCAGAUCCAGUAGUGUUGCUGGCAGCAGAAUAUAAUAUUGCAUUAAGAGUUCAUCUUGAGCUAUUUCUCAUUAUCUCCAAAUAUAUAAGCUUAUAUUUGAAUGCUAUGAAAAAUGCAUUUUCUGUAUCAGCCCUACAGAGCAAUUUUUUUUGCUUGCUUUGUUACAGGUGAUAAGUACUGUUUGUUAUUUUCUUUGUACCUUUUUGUUUCUAUUAUAAACCCUCAAUACUUUCUUACUCUAAUUUAUAGUUGUUGCUAUCAGUUUCUCUUAUAUCACAGAUGUUUUUUGUAGUAUUAGUUAUAUGACUGCUUUUUCUUCCCUUGUGUUUUAUAAAAUUUUAUCUUAGAUCUAUUUUAACUAACUUAUUUAUCUUUACCAUUAGUGAGAUAUUUCCCCAAUAAGUAAAUGAUUUUACAUAGUUUGCAAUUAUUAUUCACAUCUUUCUCUCAAGAUAUUUCUUCCAAGCUGUUUCAGUUGUUUUUGUCAUAGUGAAAAUGUCUACUUUAAAGGAGUGAGCAUGUGUAUUACUGAUUCAGCCUUGAUUUUCAAAAAACAAAAAUAACAUGCAAACACCACUGCAUUUUAAUUAAAUAUAUUCCUUUUUGAUUGUCAGAAUUCCACUAUGUCAGGUACAAAAGUCUUUGAGGUAGAAAAUGAAUGGCAUCAUUUGUAAACAGGAAUUAUUUUUUGUUUGUGUGUUUCUAGCAGCAUGAGACCUUCAGCAGACAGUACAAAGAUUCAAAUCACACAUUGUAAUACUUUUUUUCUACCCAUUUCAAAGAAAUGUUUAAGAAGUGGGCUUUUAUUUAGUUAUUUUUCUCUAAUGUGAGAAACUGUGAGUUCUCUAGGACGGGGAAAUGUGACCUAUGGGUUAACAAUUCAAAUACUUGAUGAUGAGAAGGCAGUGCUAGCAUGAUGGAAAUUAGUGAUGGGAUCCUGUAUAACAGCUCCUCCCUUGGGUCAUAAAUGGGAUUGAGCUCUUGAGCUUCAGAGGUUAGAACCUAAAUCCUUACCUCAUGAA
This is a non-coding RNA of Anas platyrhynchos (mallard), 3643 nucleotides long. NCBI's taxonomy places the organism in Eukaryota, Metazoa, Chordata, Aves, Anseriformes, Anatidae. The record is from RefSeq and is a predicted model, not a curated record.